Gasterosteus aculeatus aculeatus (three-spined stickleback) is the source of this 2574-nucleotide long non-coding RNA. Lineage: Eukaryota; Metazoa; Chordata; Actinopteri; Perciformes; Gasterosteidae. The record is from Ensembl.
GCACUGUGCACGCAGUAAAACCAGUGACCUCCCUUUAUAAACAGUACGCAUCCCAAAAAGUUCCCAUCUUUGGUAAAAAAAGGCAACGUGUUGAUUACAAAUGACAAAUCAGGGCCCAGGUUACACGUUGUUGUCUGUGCUCUGUGCUCAUAGUCAGCACUUGUUGGUUGGUGGAUGUCAGGAUGGGGUCAGGGGAGGGUAACGUUUUUAUAGGUUAAAUGAAAGAUGUCCUGGCGAUACGUUUCGCUGCCGUUAAUCUGCGAUGGCUCAGAGUCCAGGAUUGUGCCUUGACCUUCAGGCUGUACAGUAAUCCCGUUAGCCGCGGGCGGCCGGUGUGGAGAUCUCAGCAGACCUGUGCCGGCUGCGCCGCACUCUGGACCUCUACGCCGGCGGCAUGCAGAACCCCCUGUAGACACGCAGGAUGUUUAACUGGGUGGUGAAAGUGGUCCCACAACCCCCUGAAGCUCCUGGAACAGACGACGCCGCCAAGACCCCCGCCGGUGGUUCAACAGGGAAGCAACCUCCACAGAAAAACUCGGAUGAGAAUUCAGAGGACAGCCAGGCCCAGGCGGGAGUUUUAGGCUGGCUGUCCAAUGGGUUCGUCAGCGCCUUGCCUCAACCUUCGGGUUCCCCUCGACUCAGCAGGUCCACCUCUGAUGCCAAGCCAGGAGAGGAUGGAGAGAGGUCUGGAGUGAUAGGUUGGGUGACUCAGGGUCUGACCAAGGUGUUGCCUCAGCCUGAGGAAAAGUACAAGGAGGCGGAAAACAAUGACGAACCCACCGAGAUCUAUGAAGUCGAAACGAUGCCAGAUUUUGAUCCCCUCCCCCACAUCCCAGUGGUGGAGAUUUUGUCGGAGGACGAGUCGGAGGUGGAGACGCCUCAGUUCCCUCCAAACGUGGUGACGUGGAUAAAGCGGAUGGUCCCUCAACCAAUUUUACUGCCCCCUGGUGCCGUACCCAUUGAGCCAUCAAGCAGGGCAUCCCAUUCCUCACUGGACAAAAUUUUGUCUCCACCACCCGAGUCCCUCAGUGGAAUCUCACUGGAUACUGACAGCAAGGCCUCAGCGUAGGUUUCAUCCAUCACUGUCUUAUUUUAUCAGACUUCACCCAAGACAACAUGCAAGAUAAAAUAACGCUCGCAUGGAGAAAAGAAAAUGGUUAAUUAGCUUGCAGAGCUCGGCCAGCUGGAGCAAAGGAAGCUUUAGACGCUGAAGGCUUUAAUUGGAUUAACACGUCAUCCAUCCAUCCAUCUUACAACGACGGCACAUGGACGGCUGAGAUGUCGACUGGCUCUACUGGUCUUUUUCUGGAAAAAUAUAUUGAGAUUAAACACUGUGAUGUUGGAAAAUCCUAAAAGUAACAGUUUGUGUGUAAGUGUGUAAAAGUACAUGCCGUAAAGUCGUUGGUCUCUUGACAGUGUGGUUGGCUGGUUUGUGUCAGGACUCGGCCUGAAGAUGCCUCAGCCUGCACUUCCAUCCAGAGAUAAUGCUGAGAGUGCGACUGAAGUUCUACAGAAAGGGGGGAAGGCGCUGCGAGCCCCUUAAACAGCAGGAGGAGACGUCUGGGGGACGCUCUGAUUCCCACACAGAUAUAUAUUAAUAUAGAUAUUGCACUGCUGGGAGAGGUGCAGGUGCUGUGACGCCUGCAGCUCUGCACAGAUAGGCAGCUGUAAAAUAACACAAGAAUAUUGAGAUAUAUUCAACUCACCUUACUGUACUUUGUACAGUUUCAAAUGAAUGUAUGAUAACUGAAAUGCGUGCAUUAAUGUAAAAAGUAUACUUUUAUGUAGAAAAAUUAGAUGAGGUUUUGUCUUUGUGAUUGGGAUUUUGCACAUUUGCCAUUUAAUUGAAACUACCGCAGGUUUCAUUCGCAAAAAAUUGCAGAAAGAACAUUUUAUGUGACUUUAUUGUGCUUUAAGCUGUGGCAAUGUACACUUUAAAUUCAUGUUGCCAUUUUCAUAUGUCUCUCUGUCUCUUUACAUGAUACAGCAACAGGAGAUAAAAAAAUAUAAUUUACUGGUUAUUGAUUUAGAUACAAGAAUAAUUAUGAGACGUCCAAUCUUCCACAUUCCAUUAACAGAAAUCUGGAUUUACUAAUAAAAUGGCAGCUAUGUUCAUUUAUCAUUGUGUUAUUUUUUGACAAAGUACAAAAUUAAUUAAUUAAAAUUUAUAUUUGACAAUUACUUGAAAUUAUAUUCCUGCUCAUUAACAGUCUGCUAAUCAUUGUGCUCCAGUUUGGUUCUUAAUCAUGUAGGAGUUUGACUUAGCUUUGUAACAGCUUUGAUUGAACAACCAGACACAGACAUACAAAUAAGCCUAUUUGAUUGGUUUUCAUGUUGAACUUUUUGAACUGUGAAAUGUGGCCUGGGGACUUGUUGAGUUGUUGUUUCAAAAGGUUUGACUUCAUUUAAAUGAACCACAUUUGCACACAUUGAAAUUUGUUGACCGUCUUCAAGACAAGACAGUCAACAAAUUUGUGUAAUUAGACACUGUAAUGUUAGGAUACUACAGGACUAAUAAAGAUGCAAUGUUCAAUCAUAUCAUGUGGUUGCCUUAUCAAUAACACCUUUCAUUGC